This 433-nucleotide ribosomal RNA is filed under the name uncultured bacterium. RNAcentral describes it as "partial 16S ribosomal RNA". It matches the Rfam family "Bacterial small subunit ribosomal RNA", at positions 29 to 507 of the family's 1533-position model. The record is from RNAcentral.
AACGAACGCUGGCGGCAUGCCUAACACAUGCAAGUCGAACGAGACCUUCGGGUCUAGUGGCGCACGGGUGCGUAACGCGUGGGAACCUGCCCUUAGGUUCGGAAUAACUGCCCGAAAGGGGUGCUAAUACCGGAUAAUGUCUUCGGACCAAAGAUUUGUCGCCUUUGGAUGGGCCCGCGUUGGAUUAGCUAGUUGGUAGGGUAAAAGCCUACCAAGGCGACGAUCCAUAGCUGGUCUGAGAGGAUGAUCAGCCACACUGGGACUGAGACACGGCCCAGACUCCUACGGGAGGCAGCAGUGGGGAAUAUUGGACAAUGGGCGAAAGCCUGAUCCAGCAAUGCCGCGUGAGUGAUGAAGGCCUUAGGGUUGUAAAGCUCUUUUACCCGGGAUGAUAAUGACAGUACCGGGAGAAUAAGCUCCGGCUAACUCCGUG